This 274-nucleotide ribosomal RNA is filed under the name uncultured bacterium. RNAcentral describes it as "partial 16S ribosomal RNA". It matches the Rfam family "Bacterial small subunit ribosomal RNA", at positions 523 to 796 of the family's 1533-position model. The record is from RNAcentral.
AUACGGGGGGUGCAAGCGUUAAUCGGAAUUACUGGGCGUAAAGCGCGCGUAGGCGGUUUGCUCAGUCGGAUGUGAAAGCCCAGGGCUCAACCUUGGAACUGCAUACGAUACUGGCAAACUAGAGUGUGAGAGAGGAUAGUGGAAUUUCCGGUGUAGCGGUGAAAUGCGUAGAUAUCAGAAGGAACAUCAGUGGCGAAGGCGACUGUCUGGCUCAACACUGACGCUGAGGUGCGAAAGCGUGGGUAGCAAACAGGAUUAGAAACCCGAGUAGUCC